UACAGAGGGUGCGAGCGUUGUCCGGAAUCACUGGGCGUAAAGGGCGCGUAGGCGGCUCGAUAAGGCUGUGGUGAAAGCCCGGGGCUCAACCCCGGGUCGGCCGUGGCGACUGUCGGGCUGGAGCACUGUAGAGGCGGGCGGAAUUCCGGGUGUAGCGGUGGAAUGCGUAGAGAUCCGGAAGAACACCAACGGCGAAAGCACUCUGCUGGGCCGACACUGACACUGAGAGACGAAAGCUAGGGGAGCGAAUGGG
RNAcentral lists this ribosomal RNA (253 nucleotides) under uncultured bacterium. Its description in RNAcentral is "partial 16S ribosomal RNA". It matches the Rfam family "Bacterial small subunit ribosomal RNA", at positions 524 to 776 of the family's 1533-position model. The record is from RNAcentral.